This 497-nucleotide ribosomal RNA is filed under the name uncultured bacterium. RNAcentral's name for it is "partial 16S ribosomal RNA". It matches the Rfam family "Bacterial small subunit ribosomal RNA", at positions 28 to 507 of the family's 1533-position model. The record is from RNAcentral.
GAUGAACGCUGGCGGCGUGCCUAAUACAUGCAAGUCGAGCGGACAGACGAGGAGCUUGCUCCUCUGUCGUUAGCGGCGGACGGGUGAGUAACACGUGGAUAACCUACCUAUAAGACUGAGAUAACUUCGGGAAACCGGGUAUAACACCGGAUAAUAUUUUGAACCGCAUGGUUCAAUAGUGAGAUUCGGUGUUUCUGUCUCUUAUAGAUGGAUCCGCGCUGCUUGAGCUAGUUGGUAAGGUCACGGAUUACCAAGGCAACGAUGCGUUGCCGACGUGAGAGGGGGGUAGGCCACACGAGAACUGAACCGCGGCCCAGGCGACUACGGUACGGAGCAGAAGGGUAUCGGACGCAAGGGGCGAGAGCAUGACGGAACAACGCCGAGUGAGUGACAAAGGCCUUGGGAUCGUAAAACUCUGCUACUAGUGAAGAACAAAUUUGUAAGUUACUGUGCACUUAUUGACGGUACCUAAUCAGAAAGCAACGGCUAACUACGUG